RNAcentral lists this ribosomal RNA (254 nucleotides) under uncultured bacterium. RNAcentral describes it as "partial 16S ribosomal RNA". It matches the Rfam family "Bacterial small subunit ribosomal RNA", at positions 524 to 776 of the family's 1533-position model. The record is from RNAcentral.
UACGGGGGGAGCAAGCGUUGUUCGGAUUUACUGGGCGUAAAGGGCGCGUAGGCGGCCAGCACAAGUCAGUUGUGAAAUCUCCGAGCUUAACUCGGAAAGGUCAACUGAUACUGUGCGGCUAGAGUGCAGAAGGGGCAACUGGAAUUCUCGGUGUAGCGGUGAAAUGCGUAGAUAUCGAGAGGAACACCUGCGGCGAAGGCGGGUUGCUGGGCCGACACUGACGCUGAGGCGCGAAAGCUAGGGGAGCGAACGGG